RNAcentral lists this long non-coding RNA (76 nucleotides) under Chinchilla lanigera (long-tailed chinchilla). RNAcentral's name for it is "lncRNA (ENSCLAG00000023979.1)". Lineage: Eukaryota; Metazoa; Chordata; Mammalia; Rodentia; Chinchillidae. The record is from RNAcentral.
CCAUGAAGAUUUUCAAAGGACACCAAUCCAAGCCUAGCACCUGAUGUCAAGCUUCUAGCAUGUGAUCAAGUGGGAC